This 73-nucleotide transfer RNA is filed under the name Chamaesiphon polymorphus CCALA 037. RNAcentral describes it as "tRNA-Gly". It matches the Rfam family "tRNA". From Rfam's summary of the family: Transfer RNA (tRNA) molecules are approximately 80 nucleotides in length. Their secondary structure includes four short double-helical elements and three loops (D, anti-codon, and T loops). Further hydrogen bonds mediate the characteristic L-shaped molecular structure. tRNAs have two regions of fundamental functional importance: the anti-codon, which is responsible for specific mRNA codon recognition, and the 3' end, to which the tRNAs corresponding amino acid is attached (by aminoacyl-tRNA synthetases). tRNAs cope with the degeneracy of the genetic code in two manners: having more than one tRNA (with a specific anti-codon) for a particular amino acid; and 'wobble' base-pairing, i.e. permitting non-standard base-pairing at the 3rd anti-codon position. The record is from RNAcentral. Lineage: Bacteria; Bacillati; Cyanobacteriota; Cyanophyceae; Gomontiellales; Chamaesiphonaceae.
GGAACUAUAGUUCAAGUGGAAGAAUAUAACCUUGCCAAGGUUAGGGUUGAAGGUUCAAUUCCUUCUAGUUCCC